GACGUAGGGAGCGGGCGUUGUCCGGAUUCAUUGGGCGUAAAGAGCGCGCAGGCGGCUUGGUAAGUCGGAUGUGAAAACCCGGAGCUCAACUCCGGGCGUGCAUCCGAUACUGCCCGGCUAGAGGUAGGUAGGGGAGAUCGGAAUUCCUGGUGUAGCGGUGGAAUGCGCAGAUAUCAGGAGGAACACCGGUGGCGAAGGCGGAUCUCUGGGCCUUACCUGACGCUCAGGCGCGAAAGCUAGGGGAGCGAACAGG
Molecule: ribosomal RNA, 253 nt
Filed under: uncultured bacterium
Lineage: Bacteria
Description: partial 16S ribosomal RNA
Rfam family: Bacterial small subunit ribosomal RNA
Source: RNAcentral